UGGUCUGAACCAGCUCUGCCUGCUAACAGCUAGUUGGCUAAAGCAUCUCCAUAGUUCAGUCUUCUUCCAAAAACCUUAUCUAUGAGCACAAAACGUGGGAAAUUGUGGGGGAGAUCAGGAAUCAACCACACAGCCUGCAGGUUUCUCGACGCCACACUCUGUUCUUCAGCGGCACCAAACUCCGUGCAUCUCUGCUGUCCUCCUGCCUUGGCCUGCAGCUCCUUGAAAGAUAGAGUAGCCCAGUUCAGUACAAUGGUAUGUGAAAAACCAGAUUUGCAAGUUUUGGAGAAGGUUAAAAGUGAAUCAUCAGAUUACUCAUGCAUGGAUGAUAAAGAUGAGCCAUUAUGGUAAAAUACAUACUUUCAUAGCAGAUGAGUGGUGUGGCUAGAAGACAGUGACGACGACGACGAUGAUGAUGACUUUGACAUUGGCCAUGUGAGGCAUAGUUCCUGUGAUGAUGAAAUGGAGCAAGGAUUGACCCACACACAGAUAUUCUGAUUCCUAUGACAAAGAAAACAGCAAUGGAUUGAACUCAGGACCUCACGCUUGCCAGGCAGGCGCUGUGCGCCUCAGUGGCAGUGAGUUAACUCUACAGCCACGCAGUGAACAAUCCUGGAAAAUGAGUCUCUGGGACAACAGCAGGUGACUGAGGACAUGGAGCCCCUGAACUUAGUGCUAAUGAAUCCUGUGUGGACAACAAAACACCUGCUGGGAUUUCAGCUUGAAAGAAAUAUGGGAGCUUCUCUUUUUGUCUGGCCCUCUACUCCUAGCAUGAAAAAUGGGCCCUUUCCUACGCAGACCCUAGGGGUGCCCUGAAUGUGUGACCAGUGCCUGCCGAGAGUGUAGCUCUGCUGUGUCAGACAGAUCUCUGAUUUGUGAAACGGCCCGUCUGAUUCCCCUCCCGAGAGGAGAGUGGGUUGUGAAGCUGCUAAUUCUUCUAACUCCUCCCUUUUAAACACAUGCGUUAUCAGAACCACAAUCCAAAAACCUUACAAAAUGAAAGCUGGGAGAUCAAAUAUGUUUUAUUAUUUUAGAUGGACCUCAAAUCGACCUAAGUGGGGCUGUUGGAGCAGGCUGGUCCUAGCACACUAUCCAUGCCCUGGUAGUGCAGGACCACGUUUUAUGUGAGUACUUUGGAUGAACCGAGGACACCCCAGAACCCCUGGCAGUGCUGCAGAUGGUCAGUUGCACAGAAAAAUCCUGUGGGUCUUCACACUUCAGUGUGUGCAUUUCCCUUGCUGCUAAUGAAGCCAGAUCAGGGAAGUUAGGCAGCGAGGUCACAGGUCUUAAACAGGAAUUUAAAUUACACUAAAAGUAGGGGCCUGAGUGAGUUAGCAUAAUAAAGUGGGCCAUCAAGGCCUCGUGAAAUGCGAGAGAAUAAGUUGUCCUUAACCCACUAGGGGAACUGAGAGCAAGAGAGAUGCAGUUGGAGUACUGCCUGCCCUCCAGACAGCCAAGGCCUGCUGCAGCAGGGCCACCCCUGCCUUCUGUCCUGUAUAGCAGUCCCAAAUCUGUAAAACCCAGAGGACCUAAAUGUUGUACACUAGAGAAAAGAGCUUCGCCAUAUUUGUACUAUACCAAAAUACCUGUAACGUGACCCUAACUGUUCUGUAUAUGUUUUUCUUCUCCAUUCUCCCUCUGGGCGACCUAAUUGAUAUGUUAACUAUUGCUAAAAUAAGGUAACAAAAGGUUGUUAAUUACUGCCAGACUCCUCUGUUCUCUGCUGAGGAAAACAAAGGUCUUCCUCAUUAACAGAUUUCCUGAUCCACAUUCACGAACUCCUUACUUUGUAAAUUGUGAUAUGUACUUAAAGGUAAAAAAUAUAGAGAAGCAAGACACACAGCUUUUGCAAUCUCCAACUGCACUGUGUG
Long non-coding RNA from Cavia porcellus (domestic guinea pig), 1871 nucleotides. RefSeq lists it as uncharacterized. The record is from RefSeq and is a predicted model, not a curated record. Lineage: Eukaryota; Metazoa; Chordata; Mammalia; Rodentia; Caviidae. The transcript is spliced from 3 exons.